RNAcentral lists this ribosomal RNA (468 nucleotides) under uncultured bacterium. Its description in RNAcentral is "partial 16S ribosomal RNA". It matches the Rfam family "Bacterial small subunit ribosomal RNA", at positions 28 to 507 of the family's 1533-position model. The record is from RNAcentral.
GACGAACGCUGGCGGCGUGCUUAACACAUGCAAGUCGAACGGAAAGGCCCUGCUUUUGUGGGGUGCUCGAGUGGCGAACGGGUGAGUAACACGUGAGUAACCUGCCCUUGACUUUGGGAUAACUUCAGGAAACUGGGGCUAAUACCGGAUAGGAGCUCCUGCUGCAUGGUGGGGGUUGGAAAGUUUCGGCGGUUGGGGAUGGACUCGCGGCUUAUCAGCUUGUUGGUGGGGUAGGGGCUUACCAAGGCUUCGACGGGUAGCCGGCCUGAGAGGGUGACCGGCCACAUUGGGACUGAGAGACGGCGCAGACUCGUACGGGAGGCAGCAGUGGGGAGUAUUGCACAAUGGGCGGAAGCCUGAUGCAGCAACGCCGCGUGCGGGAUGACGGCCUUCGGGUUGUAAACCGCUUUCGCCGGUGACGAAGCGGGAGUGACGGUAAUGGGUAAAGAAGCACCGGCUAACUACGUG